AACGCGAAGAACCUUACCAAAUCUUGACAUCCCGAUGACAGACUGUGUAAAGCAGUUUCUCUUCGGAGCAUCGGUGACAGGUGGUGCAUGGUUGUCGUCAGCUCGUGUCGUGAGAUGUUGGGUUAAGUCCCGCAACGAGCGCAACCCCUGUUUCUAGUUGCCAUCAUUAAGUUGGGCACUCUGGCGAGACUGCCGGUGAUAAAUCGGAGGAAGGUGGGGACGAGGUCAAAUCAUCAUGCCCCUUAUGUCCAGGGCUACACACGUACUACAAUGGCCGAUAACAAAGUGCAGCGAAACCGUGAGGUGGAGCGAAUCACAAAACUCGGUCCCAGUUCAGAUUGCAGGCUGCAACUCGCCUGCAUGAAGGUGGAAUUGCUAGUAAUCGCGAAUCAGAAUGUCGCGGUGAAUACGUUCCCGGGUCUUGUACACACGC
RNAcentral lists this ribosomal RNA (433 nucleotides) under uncultured Clostridium sp. Its description in RNAcentral is "bacterial SSU rRNA". It matches the Rfam family "Bacterial small subunit ribosomal RNA", at positions 958 to 1393 of the family's 1533-position model. Lineage: Bacteria; Bacillati; Bacillota; Clostridia; Eubacteriales; Clostridiaceae. The record is from RNAcentral.